UACGUAGGGGGCAAGCGUUGUCCGGAUUUAUUGGGCGUAAAGAGCGUGUAGGCGGCCUGAAAGGUCAGCUGUGAAAACUCGAGGCUUAACCUCGAGACGUCGGUUGAAACCAUCUGGCUAGAGUCCGGAAGAGGAGUGUGGAAUUCCCGGUGUAGCGGUGAAAUGCGCAGAUAUCGGGAAGAACACCCGUGGCGAAGGCGGCACUCUGGGACGGUACUGACGCGUGAGACGCGAAAGCGUGGGGAGCGAACAGG
Molecule: ribosomal RNA, 254 nt
Filed under: uncultured bacterium
Lineage: Bacteria
Description: partial 16S ribosomal RNA
Rfam family: Bacterial small subunit ribosomal RNA
Source: RNAcentral